GGGGGUCGUUGUGUGAUCCACCAGGCUGUAAUCGUUACUGCUGUCAUUGAUUUUGAUGUCCAGAUCGCCCCUGGUUGUGCCAGCAGGAGCCCCUACCUAAGGCCUGUUUCUGUGUCUCCCUCAGGACAUCAGCCAUGCCUUUCCCUUCCUACGGCCUCCAGCACACCCGCCUCUUGAAGUGACACAUCUCUUAUCAGACCCUGCCUCCCACGAGAUCUGGAGGUCAGAAACUCUGCUCCAGGUUUUUGUUGAAAUGUGGCUUCAUCGUUAUUCCUUGGAGUUGUACCAAAAUGCCCCUCAUGCCAAGAUCAUCAAUGGGCUCUGCAGGUUUGACAUCGAGGACUAGGGGACGCGGAACUGCAGCCCAUCUGAAGCUGUGAGAUCGCCAGCCUGGUCUGCCUGAUCUUCUGGCCUCUUCCACCAUCAACCGCAGGGUGAGUGUUGGGCGGGAGGGCUGACCCUUAUCUCUGCGCCCCUUCCUGUCAAGGCAGUCUUGGGGAGAGGCCAGGGGUAGA
This is a long non-coding RNA of Diceros bicornis minor, 515 nucleotides long. RefSeq lists it as uncharacterized. Lineage: Eukaryota; Metazoa; Chordata; Mammalia; Perissodactyla; Rhinocerotidae. The transcript is spliced from 3 exons. The record is from RefSeq and is a predicted model, not a curated record.